This 1365-nucleotide long non-coding RNA is filed under the name Zostera marina. Its description in RNAcentral is "long non-coding RNA (ZMAR_LNC002241)". The record is from RNAcentral. Lineage: Eukaryota; Viridiplantae; Streptophyta; Magnoliopsida; Alismatales; Zosteraceae.
GGGGGGCAAGGGAGGGCAAUUGCCCCCCCUAAAAUUUGGAAAAUAUCCAAGGACUUAUAUGUAAUUAAAUUUUUUAUAGGGGGUUAAGUGUAAUUUUCACAAUAUAUUAAUAUUUUUUAAGGGUUAAUAUAUAAAUUUCACAAUAUUUAUAUACUAUAUAAAUUUUACAAUAUAUGUAAUUUUAAGUUUAAUUACAUAUAAAACUCUAAAAACUUAAAUAUCCCUAAAUUUCUUCCCCAAAUCUUCUUAAUCCCUAAACCUCUCCCCAAAUUUUCUAAAUCCUUAAACCUCUCCCCCAAAUUUCUAAAUCCCUAAACCUCUCCCCCAAACCCAAAACCCACGAUAUUUCCCCAAUAUCCUCCAAAUUUCCCCAAUAUCCCCAAAACCCACGAUUUCUCCCAAAAUCUCCCCAAUAUUAUUUCCCCAAUCUCAUUUUCCGCCCCAUCCUCCAAUCUCGUUUCCCCCCAUCUAAUUUCCUUCAAUCUUGUUUCCCCCAAUCUCCUUCCCCAAAACUCACGACUUCCCCCAAUCUCUCCUCCUCCCAUCCACCUCACGAUCAUCUCAGGGUCAACCGGCCAAGCUCUCACGUUCUGACCACCGUCCAUCGAGAUUCAGUUAUUGUGCCACAGCCCACAGGACACCACCACCAUCGGAUUUCACUGCCUUCAGUUCGUCUCCACUCUCCAGAGUCCAGUCUCCGCUACUCUCUAGCCUUUAGGCUCUAGGUAUGUCCGUCUAUCUUGAAUUCUUGAUCCGUUUGUGUUUAACCUAGCUUGAUCCGGAAAAAAAUGUACCAUUUUAAAACAGGAUAAUGAACCAUUUGCAAAAAAUUGAAUUGAACUAUCAUCAACCUGAAAAAAUAUGAAUUUUCAUCAUUCCAUGUGAUUUUUUAAAACAGGGACCUACAUUGAUUAAAUAUCCAUGUGAAUUUUAUUUCUUUCUUUAAUUAAUUAAAGAGGAACCAUUUUAUUUAUUUCUUUAAUGUGAUUCCCACAUUAAAACUCGUCUCAGAAAUCGCCUUGGUGAUAGUUUGAUGAAUGAUUGUUUAGUAACAUAUAUCGAGAAAGAUAUUUUUAAAACUAUAGACAACGAAGUUAUUUUAAAAAUAUUUAAUGAUAUGUGUUUUCGUCGUAGGACAUUGAAGUAAUGUAAAAUGUAUUUGAAAUUUUUAUUGUUAAUUAAAUAAAUGUAUUUAUUUUUAAUUUGAAUAUUAAUUAAUGUAUUGAAUAUUAAUUAUAUAAUGAAUGUAUUGAUUUUUUAUAGGUUUUUAUAAUCAAUUAUAUGAAUAGGUCAUGCCAAAAUUUGUAUAGGUUUUUUAAUUAGUACAAAAAAAUUUUUUCGCCUUCGGCGAAUCUUGCCCCCCCU